This 116-nucleotide ribosomal RNA is filed under the name uncultured bacterium. RNAcentral's name for it is "partial 16S ribosomal RNA". It matches the Rfam family "Bacterial small subunit ribosomal RNA", at positions 355 to 470 of the family's 1533-position model. The record is from RNAcentral.
UAGGGAAUCUUCCACAAUGGACGAAAGUCUGAUGGAGCAACGCCGCGUGAGUGAAGAAGGGUUUCGGCUCGUAAAGCUCUGUUGGUAGUGAAGAAAGAUAGAGGUAGUAACUGGCC